This 466-nucleotide ribosomal RNA is filed under the name Vreelandella stevensii. RNAcentral's name for it is "partial 16S ribosomal RNA". It matches the Rfam family "Bacterial small subunit ribosomal RNA", at positions 338 to 795 of the family's 1533-position model. Lineage: Bacteria; Pseudomonadati; Pseudomonadota; Gammaproteobacteria; Oceanospirillales; Halomonadaceae. The record is from RNAcentral.
CCUACGGGUGGCUGCAGUGGGGAAUAUUGGACAAUGGGGGCAACCCUGAUCCAGCCAUGCCGCGUGUGUGAAGAAGGCCCUCGGGUUGUAAAGCACUUUCAGUGAGGAAGAACGCCUGGUGGUUAAUACCCAUCAGGAAAGACAUCACUCACAGAAGAAGCACCGGCUAACUCCGUGCCAGCAGCCGCGGUAAUACGGAGGGUGCGAGCGUUAAUCGGAAUUACUGGGCGUAAAGCGCGCGUAGGUGGCUUGAUAAGCCGGUUGGGAAAGCCCCGGGCUCAACCUGGGAACGGCAUCCGGAAAUGUCAAGCUAGAGUGCAGGAGAGGAAGGUAGAAUUCCCCGUGGAGCGGUGAAAUGCGUAGAGAUCGGGAGGAAUACCAGUGGCGAAGGCGGCCUUCUGGACUGACACUGACACUGAGGUGCGAAAGCGUGGGUAGCAAACAGGAUUAGAUACCCCGGGUAGUC